CUACGGGAGGCAGCAGUAGGGAAUCUUCCGCAAUGGACGAAAGUCUGACGGAGCAACGCCGCGUGAGUGAUGAAGGUUUUCGGAUCGUAAAACUCUGUUGUUAGGGAAGAACAAGUACCGUUCGAAUAGGGCGGUACCUUGACGGUACCUAACCAGAAAGCCACGGCUAACUACGUGCCA
Molecule: ribosomal RNA, 180 nt
Filed under: uncultured bacterium
Lineage: Bacteria
Description: partial 16S ribosomal RNA
Rfam family: Bacterial small subunit ribosomal RNA
Source: RNAcentral